UGCGCCAGUAACGGCGAGUGAAGCGGCAACAGCUCAAAUUUGAAAUCUGGCCCCUCGGGGUCCGAGUUGUAAUUUGUAGAGGAUGCUUUUGGUGAGGUGCCGCCCGAGUUCCCUGGAACGGGACGCCACAGAGGGUGAGAGCCCCGUCUGGCUGGCCACCGAGCCUCUGUAAAGCUCCUUCGACGAGUCGAGUAGUUUGGGAAUGCUGCUCAAAAUGGGAGGUAUAUGUCUUCUAAAGCUAAAUAUUGGCCAGAGACCGAUAGCGCACAAGUAGAGUGAUCGAAAGAUGAAAAGCACCUUGAAAAGAGGGUUAAAUAGUACGUGAAAUUGUUGAAAGGGAAGCGCUUGUGACCAGACUUGGGCGCGGCGGAUCAUCCGGGGUUCUCUCCGGUGCACUUCGCCGCGUCUAGGCCAGCAUCAGUUCGUCGCGGGGGAAAAAGGCUUCGGGAACGUGGCUCCUCCGGGAGUGUUAUAGCCCGUUGCAUAAUACCCUGGGUGGACUGAGGACCGCGCAUCUGCAAGGAUGCUGGCGUAAUGGUCACCAGCGACCCGUCUUGAAACACGGACCAAGGAGUCGUCUUCGUAUGCGAGUGUUCGGGUGUCAAACCCCUACGCGUAAUGAAAGUGAACGCAGGUGAGAGCUUCGGCGCAUCAUCGACCGAUCCUGAUGUUCUCGGAUGGAUUUGAGUAAGAGCAUACGGGGCCGGACCCGAAAGAAGGUGAACUAUGCCUGUAUAGGGUGAAGCCAGAGGAAACUCUGGUGGAGGNUCGCAGCGGUUCUGACGUGCAAAUCGAUCGUCAAAUAUGGGCAUGGGGGGCGAAAGACUAAUCGAACCUUCUAGUAGCUC
This 848-nucleotide ribosomal RNA is filed under the name Trichoderma virens. RNAcentral's name for it is "partial large subunit ribosomal RNA". It matches the Rfam family "Eukaryotic large subunit ribosomal RNA", at positions 76 to 953 of the family's 3401-position model. Lineage: Eukaryota; Fungi; Ascomycota; Sordariomycetes; Hypocreales; Hypocreaceae. The record is from RNAcentral.